This 805-nucleotide ribosomal RNA is filed under the name uncultured Pelagibacteraceae bacterium. RNAcentral's name for it is "bacterial SSU rRNA". It matches the Rfam family "Bacterial small subunit ribosomal RNA", at positions 34 to 887 of the family's 1533-position model. Lineage: Bacteria; Pseudomonadati; Pseudomonadota; Alphaproteobacteria; Candidatus Pelagibacterales; Candidatus Pelagibacteraceae. The record is from RNAcentral.
CGCUGGCGGCACGCCUUAUACAUGCAAGUCGAACGAAGUAGCAAUACUUAGUGGCAGACGGGUGAGUAACAUGUGGGUAUCUUCCCUUUGGUGAGGAAUAACACGAGGAAACUUGUGCUAAUACCUCAUAAGUCUUUACGGAGAAAGCUUUAUGCGCCAAUGGAUGAGCCCGCACUUGAUUAGUUUGUUGGUGGGGUAAUGGCCUACCAAGACUUUGAUCAAUAGCUGAUUUGAGAGGAUGAUCAGCCACAUUGGGACUGAGACACGGCCCAAACUCCUACGGGAGGCAGCAGUAAGGAAUCUUGCACAAUGGAGGAAACUCUGAUGCAGCGAUGCCGCGUGAGUGAAGAAGGCCUUUGGGUUGUAAAGCUCUUUCGUCGGGGAAGAAAAUGACUGUACCCGAAUAAGAAGGUCCGGCUAACUUCGUGCCAGCAGCCGCGGUAAUACGAAGGGACCUAGCGUAGUUCGGAAUUACUGGGCUUAAAGAGUUCGUAGGUGGUUAAAAAAGUUGGUGGUGAAAUCCCAGAGCUUAACUCUGGAACUGCCAUCAAAACUUUUUAGCUAGAGUAUGAUAGAGGAAAGCAGAAUUUCUAGUGUAGAGGUGAAAUUCGUAGAUAUUAGAAAGAAUACCAAUUGCGAAGGCAGCUUUCUGGAUCAUUACUGACACUGAGGAACGAAAGCAUGGGUAGCGAAGAGGAUUAGAUACCCUCGUAGUCCAUGCUGUAAACGAUGUGUGUUAGACGUUGGAAAUUUAUUUUCAGUGUCGCAGCGAAAGCGAUAAACACACCGCCUGGGGAGUACGACC